CAGUAGCCGCGGUAAUACGUAGGGUGCAAGCGUUAAUCGGAAUUACUGGGCGUAAAGCGUGCGCAGGCGGUGUUGUAAGACUGAUGUGAAAUCCCCGGGCUCAACCUGGGAGCUGCAUUGGUGACUGCAACGCUGGAGUGCGGCAGAGGGGGAUGGAAUUCCGCGUGUAGCAGUGAAAUGCGUAGAUAUGCGGAGGAACACCGAUGGCGAAGGCAAUCCCCUGGGCCUGCACUGACGCUCAUGCACGAAAGCGUGGGGAGCAAACAGGAUUAGAUACCCGCGUAGUCCCUGUCUCUUAUAC
This 301-nucleotide ribosomal RNA is filed under the name uncultured bacterium. RNAcentral's name for it is "partial 16S ribosomal RNA". It matches the Rfam family "Bacterial small subunit ribosomal RNA", at positions 509 to 807 of the family's 1533-position model. The record is from RNAcentral.